AGCCUAUCCUACACGUGUUAGCCGAUGUGCGCGAGCUUGUGGGAAAAUAUUCGGAGAAACGCACCCUAGCCCCCCUUAUAACAGGAAGGGAUGUAGCUGCGGGGACAACAGCAGGAGCGGGCUUUGGAGCCACGGGAGAGGUCUUGAGCGUGAGCACUCCUCUAGAAGUCAGCUGGGCAAACUCCUCAGCGUUCAUCACGGACAUGACGAUGACUUUUAACAGCAAUGCAGACAACGAAGGCACAUAAAUAUGAGGUUCUUGGAUAUCACUCGAGAAACCAAAACAAGCGAAGCAGUUGCGAGAAGAAGAAUAACGCUUCCCACGGCGAAGAACACUGUGGACAGCGGGCUUGCUGGUUCCGAGCUUCGGUCUCGCGCUUCUGACUGUCCCGAGUCUGCAACCAGGAACCCGUGGAUAUUUGUCCCGUUAAAGCUGGUGGAAAUUGAUCGACGUCUUCGCCGAAGCAUUGAAUGUGAGGUUCUCAGUGGCGCGACGCUGUAGAGAACCUGGAGGUACCAUUUGGUUCCAGGAGCGACCUGAGGAGCAAUCAAUCAGUGAAUGUACCAGAAUACACGACUUCAGAAAAUCCCAGAGAGCUUAGCGCCGCUUUGAACUCUGGGAACUUGCUGACAACAAAGGAGGAGAAGGUCUCCAAGCCGUUUCGGUUCCUUCUCUCUAGGUUGAUUGUCCGCGAGCAGUCAAUGUCAGCGAAAACGAAACGUGAAAGACGUAUCAUCCCACUAAAUUCUCAGGAUGCAACGCGUACGCAAGGAGGACUGGUACUUUCUGAACUCGUCUAUUCGUUUUGACUAACUAUAUUUUUUCAUGUCCUAGCUUAUCCUCCACUAAAAGAGCAUUCUCCGAAUUAUUAUUUAACCGCGUUCUGCGCAGGCCACGUGCUCGCGCGUUACAGUUAGGUCUGACGGCGGCCGUACAUUCCCAAAGACGCCAAUGUGUUAGUUAAUAUGUACCGUUGUCGUUUAUUAUUUUCAUUAUUUCAUUCCGGGAUCAAAAGGCAACUUACCAGAUACAGUGGAUCUACAUUCAUGGAAAACCCAUCCAUGCCCGAUGAUUCUCCAAAGUUUUGCGUUCCGAUAUCACCUGCAAACUUCGCGUCGAAUUUUACACCUCGGACGGACUCUUGGACACUUUCUGUGUUGAAACGGUCC
This is a long non-coding RNA of Ornithodoros turicata, 1170 nucleotides long. RefSeq lists it as uncharacterized. The record is from RefSeq and is a predicted model, not a curated record. Lineage: Eukaryota; Metazoa; Arthropoda; Arachnida; Ixodida; Argasidae. The transcript has 4 exons.